RNAcentral lists this ribosomal RNA (465 nucleotides) under uncultured bacterium. Its description in RNAcentral is "bacterial SSU rRNA". It matches the Rfam family "Bacterial small subunit ribosomal RNA", at positions 10 to 523 of the family's 1533-position model. The record is from RNAcentral.
AGUUUGAUCCUGGCUCAGAACGAACGCUGGCGGCAGGCUUAACACAUGCAAGUCGAACGCCCCGCAAGGGGAGUGGCAGACGGGUGAGUAACGCGUGGGAACAUACCCUUUUCUACGGAAUAGCUCUGGGAAACUGGAAUUAAUACCGUAUACGCCCUACGGGGGAAAGAUUUAUCGGGGAAGGAUUGGCCCGCGUUGGAUUAGCUAGUUGGUGGGGUAAAGGCCUAUCAAGGCGACGAUCCAUAGCUGGUCUGAGAGGAUGAUCAGCCACAUUGGGACUGAGACACGGCCCAAACUCCUACGGGAGGCAGCAGUGGGGAAUAUUGGACAAUGGGCGCAAGCCUGAUCCAGCCAUGCCGCGUGAGUGAUGAAGGCCUUAGGGUUGUAAAGCUCUUUCACCGAUGAAGAUAAUGACGGUAGUCGGAGAAGAAGCCCCGGCUAACUUCGUGCCAGCAGCCGCGGUAA